Molecule: ribosomal RNA, 253 nt
Filed under: uncultured bacterium
Lineage: Bacteria
Description: partial 16S ribosomal RNA
Rfam family: Bacterial small subunit ribosomal RNA
Source: RNAcentral
UACGGGGGGGGCAAGCGUUGUUCGGAAUUACUGGGCGUAAAGGGCUCGUAGGCGGCCAACUAAGUCAGACGUGAAAUCCCUCGGCUUAACCGGGGAACUGCAUCUGAUACUGGAUGGCUUGAGUUCGGGAGAGGGAUGUGGAAUUCCAGGUGUAGCGGUGAAAUGCGUAGACAUCUGGAGGAACACCGGUGGCGAAGGCGGCAUCCUGGACCGACACUGACGCUGAUGAGCGAAAGCCAGGGGAGCAAACGGG